RNAcentral lists this ribosomal RNA (421 nucleotides) under uncultured bacterium. RNAcentral describes it as "bacterial SSU rRNA". It matches the Rfam family "Bacterial small subunit ribosomal RNA", at positions 43 to 464 of the family's 1533-position model. The record is from RNAcentral.
UAGGCCUAACACAUGCAAGUCGAACGGCAGCACGGGUGCUUGCACCUGGUGGCGAGUGGCGAACGGGUGAGUAAUAUAUCGGAACGUGCCCUAGAGUGGGGGAUAACUAGUCGAAAGAUUAGCUAAUACCGCAUACGAUCUACGGAUGAAAGUGGGGGAUCGCAAGACCUCAUGCUCCUGGAGCGGCCGAUAUCUGAUUAGCUAGUUGGUGGGGUAAAAGCCUACCAAGGCGACGAUCAGUAGCUGGUCUGAGAGGACGACCAGCCACACUGGGACUGAGACACGGCCCAGACUCCUACGGGAGGCAGCAGUGGGGAAUUUUGGACAAUGGGGGCAACCCUGAUCCAGCAAUGCCGCGUGUGUGAAGAAGGCCUUCGGGUUGAAAGCAAAGUGUCAGGAACGAAACGGUGGGGGCUAAUAU